This 455-nucleotide ribosomal RNA is filed under the name uncultured bacterium. RNAcentral describes it as "bacterial SSU rRNA". It matches the Rfam family "Bacterial small subunit ribosomal RNA", at positions 29 to 524 of the family's 1533-position model. The record is from RNAcentral.
AACGAACGCUGGCGGCAGGCCUAACACAUGCAAGUCGAACGCUGUAGCAAUACAGAGUGGCAGACGGGUGAGUAACGCGUGGGAACAUACCCUUCGGUUCGGAAUAACUCAGGGAAACUUGAGCUAAUACCGGAUACGUGCGAGAGCAGAAAGAUUCAUCGCCGAAGGAUUGGCCCGCGUUCGAUUAGCUUGUUGGUGAGGUAAUGGCUCACCAAGGCGACGANCGAUAGCUGGUCUGAGAGGAUGAUCAGCCACAUUGGGACUGAGACACGGCCCAAACUCCUACGGGAGGCAGCAGUGGGGAAUAUUGGACAAUGGGCGAAAGCCUGAUCCAGCCAUGCCGCGUGAGUGAUGAAGGCCCUAGGGUUGUAAAGCUCUUUCAGCUCCGACGAAGCGAGAGUGACGGUAGGAGCAGAAGAAGCACCGGCCAACUACGUGCCAGCAGCCGCCGUAAG